This 465-nucleotide ribosomal RNA is filed under the name Vreelandella stevensii. RNAcentral describes it as "partial 16S ribosomal RNA". It matches the Rfam family "Bacterial small subunit ribosomal RNA", at positions 338 to 795 of the family's 1533-position model. The record is from RNAcentral. Lineage: Bacteria; Pseudomonadati; Pseudomonadota; Gammaproteobacteria; Oceanospirillales; Halomonadaceae.
CCUACGGGCGGCUGCAGUGGGGAAUAUUGGACAAUGGGCGAAAGCCUGAUCCAGCCAUGCCGCGUGCGUGAAGAAGGCCUUUGGGUUGUAAAGCACUUUCAGUGGGGAAGAAAGCCUUGGGGCUAAUACCCUCGAGGAAGGACAUCACCCACAGAAGAAGCACCGGCUAACUCCGUGCCAGCAGCCGCGGUAAUACGGAGGGUGCGAGCGUUAAUCGGAAUUACUGGGCGUAAAGCGCGCGUAGGCGGUCUGAUAAGCCGGUUGUGAAAGCCCCGGGCUCAACCUGGGAACGGCAUCCGGAACUGUCAGGCUAGAGUGCAGGAGAGGAAGGUAGAAUUCCCGGUGUAGCGGUGAAAUGCGUAGAGAUCGGGAGGAAUACCAGUGGCGAAGGCGGCCUUCUGGACUGACACUGACGCUGAGGUGCGAAAGCGUGGGUAGCAAACAGGAUUAGAUACCCUGGUAGUC